GCCCCCGUAGCUCAGUGGACAGAGCGCCGGACUUCUAAUCCGAUGGUCGCAGGUUCGAAUCCUGCCGGGGGCG
RNAcentral lists this transfer RNA (73 nucleotides) under Solirubrobacterales bacterium. RNAcentral describes it as "tRNA-Arg". It matches the Rfam family "tRNA". Rfam says of the family: Transfer RNA (tRNA) molecules are approximately 80 nucleotides in length. Their secondary structure includes four short double-helical elements and three loops (D, anti-codon, and T loops). Further hydrogen bonds mediate the characteristic L-shaped molecular structure. tRNAs have two regions of fundamental functional importance: the anti-codon, which is responsible for specific mRNA codon recognition, and the 3' end, to which the tRNAs corresponding amino acid is attached (by aminoacyl-tRNA synthetases). tRNAs cope with the degeneracy of the genetic code in two manners: having more than one tRNA (with a specific anti-codon) for a particular amino acid; and 'wobble' base-pairing, i.e. permitting non-standard base-pairing at the 3rd anti-codon position. RNAcentral also lists the same sequence under 2 other names. Lineage: Bacteria; Bacillati; Actinomycetota; Thermoleophilia; Solirubrobacterales. The record is from RNAcentral.